GAUGAAGAACGUAGCGAAAUGCGAUACGUAAUGUGAAUUGCAGAAUUCAGUGAAUCAUCGAAUCUUUGAACGCACAUUGCGCCCUUUGGUAUUCCAAAGGGCAUGCCUGUUCGAGCGUCAUUUGUACCCUCAAGCUUUGCUUGGUGUUGGGCGUCUUGUCUCUAGCUUUGCUGGAGACUCGCCUUAAAGUAAUUGGCAGCCGGCCUACUGGUUUCGGAGCGCAGCACAAGUCGCACUCUCUAUCAGCAAAGGUCUAGCAUCCAUUAAGCCUUUUUUUCAACUUUUGACCUCGGAUCAGGUAGGGAUACCCGCUGAACUUAAGCAUAUCAAUAAACGGAGG
RNAcentral lists this unclassified non-coding RNA (340 nucleotides) under soil metagenome. RNAcentral's name for it is "partial contains 5.8S ribosomal RNA, internal transcribed spacer 2, and large subunit ribosomal RNA". The stretch from base 1 to 120 matches the Rfam family "5.8S ribosomal RNA", at positions 35 to 154 of the family's 154-position model. The record is from RNAcentral.